This 431-nucleotide ribosomal RNA is filed under the name uncultured bacterium. Its description in RNAcentral is "partial 16S ribosomal RNA". It matches the Rfam family "Bacterial small subunit ribosomal RNA", at positions 29 to 507 of the family's 1533-position model. The record is from RNAcentral.
AACGAACGCUGGCGGCAGGCUUAACACAUGCAAGUCGAGCGCCCCGCAAGGGGAGCGGCAGCCGGGUGAGUAACGCGUGGGAACGUACCUUUUGGUUCGGAACAACUCCGGGAAACUGGAGCUAAUACCGGAUAAGCCCUAACGGGGAAAGAUUUAUCGCCGAAAGAUCGGCCCGCGUCUGAUUAGCUAGUUGGUGAGGUAACGGCUCACCAAGGCGACGAUCAGUAGCUGGUCUGAGAGGAUGAUCAGCCACACUGGGACUGAGACACGGCCCAGACUCCUACGGGAGGCAGCAGUGGGGAAUAUUGGACAAUGGGCGCAAGCCUGAUCCAGCCAUGCCGCGUGAGUGAUGAAGGCCUUAGGGUUGUAAAGCUCUUUUGUCCGGGAAGAUAACGACUGUACCGGAAGAAUAAGCCCCGGCUAACUUCGUG